GUGAGGUAGGGUCGUACUCUACGGAUGUACCUCUUCCUGUGUGAGGUAGGGUCCUACUCUACGGAUGUUCCUCUUCCUGUGUGAGGUAGGGUCGUACUCUACGGAUCUUCCUCUUCCUGUGUGAGGUAGGGUCUCUUCCUGUGUGAGGUAGGGUCUCUUCCUGUGUGAGGUAGGGUCGUACUCUACGGAUGUUCCUCUUCCUGUGUGAGGUAGGGUCGUACUCUACGGAUGUUCCUCUUCCUGUGUGAGGUAGGGUCUCUUCCUGUGUGAGGUAGGGUCGUACUCUACGGAUGUACCUCUUCCUGUGUGAGGUAGGGUAGUACUCUACAGAUAUUGUAGAGCAUGAACCUGCUUUGAUGUUUGCAGAGAACGACAGGGUAUUGUUCUGGGUCACGCCAAGGUUCUUUGCACUCUGGGAGGACGACACUGUGGAGUUGCCUUCUCCAGACUUUCCACUUUG
This is a long non-coding RNA of Oncorhynchus tshawytscha (Chinook salmon), 460 nucleotides long. NCBI's taxonomy places the organism in Eukaryota, Metazoa, Chordata, Actinopteri, Salmoniformes, Salmonidae. The record is from Ensembl.